RNAcentral lists this transfer RNA (69 nucleotides) under Prionotropis hystrix. Its description in RNAcentral is "tRNA-Gly". It matches the Rfam family "tRNA". From Rfam's summary of the family: Transfer RNA (tRNA) molecules are approximately 80 nucleotides in length. Their secondary structure includes four short double-helical elements and three loops (D, anti-codon, and T loops). The record is from RNAcentral. Lineage: Eukaryota; Metazoa; Arthropoda; Insecta; Orthoptera; Pamphagidae.
AUUUUUCUAGUAUAAAAAUAGUAUACCUGACUUCCAAUCAGUAGGAUUGAUCAAAAAUCAAGAAAAAUA